CUUACCAUGCAGUCGAACGAUGAACCACUUCGGUGGGGAUUAGUGGCGAACGGGUGAGUAACACGUGGGCAAUCUGCCCUGCACUCUGGGACAAGCCCUGGAAACGGGGUCUAAUACCGGAUACUGACCAUCUUGGGCAUCUUCGAUGGUCGAAAGCUCCGGCGGUGCAGGAUGAGCCCGCGGCCUAUCAGCUAGUUGGUGAGGUAAUGGCUCACCAAGGCGACGACGGGUAGCCGGCCUGAGAGGGCGACCGGCCACACUGGGACUGAGACACGGCCCAGACUCCUACGGGAGGCAGCAGUGGGGAAUAUUGCACAAUGGGCGAAAGCCUGAUGCAGCGACGCCGCGUGAGGGAUGACGGCCUUCGGGUUGUAAACCUCUUUCAGCAGGGAAGAAGCGAAAGUGACGGUACCUGCAGAAGAAGCGCCGGCUAACUACGUGCCAGCAGCCGCGGUAAUACUA
RNAcentral lists this ribosomal RNA (462 nucleotides) under Streptomyces thinghirensis. Its description in RNAcentral is "bacterial SSU rRNA". It matches the Rfam family "Bacterial small subunit ribosomal RNA", at positions 48 to 528 of the family's 1533-position model. The record is from RNAcentral. Lineage: Bacteria; Bacillati; Actinomycetota; Actinomycetes; Kitasatosporales; Streptomycetaceae.